GUGCACAGGAGUGAAGGGUUUCUGCAGGAGCCAACCUGGACCAAAGCUGAGUCUUUGUCAAGUUGCUCAGUGUUUCUGUAAACUGUGGUGCUUGUUUGAAGUAGACAACACUUGUGAAAGAAGAUGGAAAAGUUCUUAGAAGUA
This 144-nucleotide long non-coding RNA is filed under the name Corvus moneduloides (New Caledonian crow). RNAcentral's name for it is "lncRNA (ENSCMUG00000020178.1)". The record is from RNAcentral. Lineage: Eukaryota; Metazoa; Chordata; Aves; Passeriformes; Corvidae.